AUUGAACGCUGGCGGCAGGCUUAACACAUGCAAGUCGAGCGGUAGCACAGGGGAGCUUGCUCCCUGGGUGACGAGCGGCGGACGGGUGAGUAAUGUCUGGGAAACUGCCUGAUGGAGGGGGAUAACUACUGGAAACGGUAGCUAAUACCGCAUAACGUCGCAAGACCAAAGAGGGGGACCUUCGGGCCUCUUGCCAUCAGAUUUGCCCAGAUGGGAUUAGCUAGUAGGUGGGGUAAUGGCUCACCUAGGCGACGAUCCCUAGCUGGUCUGAGAGGAUGACCAGCCACACUGGAACUGAGACACGGUCCAGACUCCUACGGGAGGCAGCAGUGGGGAAUAUUGCACAAUGGGCGCAAGCCUGAUGCAGCCAUGCCGCGUGUGUGAAGAAGGCCUUCGGGUUGUAAAGCACUUUCAGCGAGGAGGAAGGUGGUGAGCUUAAUACGUUCAUCAAUUGACGUUACUCGCAGAAGAAGCACCGGCUAACUCCGUG
This 490-nucleotide ribosomal RNA is filed under the name uncultured bacterium. RNAcentral describes it as "partial 16S ribosomal RNA". It matches the Rfam family "Bacterial small subunit ribosomal RNA", at positions 30 to 507 of the family's 1533-position model. The record is from RNAcentral.